RNAcentral lists this ribosomal RNA (549 nucleotides) under uncultured eukaryote. RNAcentral's name for it is "SSU rRNA". It matches the Rfam family "Eukaryotic small subunit ribosomal RNA", at positions 20 to 575 of the family's 1831-position model. The record is from RNAcentral.
GUAGUCAUAUGCUUGUCUCAAAGAUUAAGCCAUGCAUGUCUAAGUAUAAGCAAUUAUACCGCGAAACUGCGAAUGGCUCAUUAUAUAAGUUAUCGUUUAUUUGAUAGUACCUUACUACUUGGAUAACCGUGGUAAUUCUAGAGCUAAUACAUGCUAAAAAUCCCGACUUCGGAAGGGAUGUAUUUAUUAGAUUAAAAGCCAAUGCCCUCUGGGCUCUCUGGUGAUUCAUGAUAACUUCUCGAAUCGCAUGGCCUUGCGCCGGCGAUGGUUCAUUCAAAUUUCUUCCCUAUCAACUUUCGAUGUCUGGGUAUUGGCCAAACAUGGUUGCAACGGGUAACGGAGGGUUAGGGCUCGACCCCGGAGAAGGAGCCUGAGAAACGGCUACUACAUCCAAGGAAGGCAGCAGGCGCGCAAAUUACCUAAUCCCGACACGGGGAGGUAGUGACAAUAAAUACUGAUACAGGGCUCUUUGGGUCUUGUAAUUGGAAUGAGUACAAUUUAAAUCCCUUAACGAGGAACAAUUGGGGGGCAAGUCUGGUGCCAGCAGCC